CAGAUCCCGGAGCCUGCCGCCUGCCCACGCCCCACUCCACACCAGCUCCCCAUCCCCUCCGCAGGGCCCCUGGCGGCCACCCUUCCACUCUCCAGGGGUUGGACGCCGCUCUGAAAGGCAGCAUUGAUCUGGGACUGGCUGGUUUCGCUUCGCACGACGUCCUCGCACUCCUCCGGGUGGUGGCUUACUUUGUGACAAGUGUUCCUUCAGUUAAAGCGGAAUCUGCUCCCCUGUGCACAUCUACCAACCUGCCCACCUGCUGACGGCCAUUGUGUGCAGCGCUGUGGCGACCUGACAGUUCCUCCAGGAGUCUGACGUCAGUUCUUUUGGAUAUAUACCAGAACCGGGACUGCUCACUGCCCGACCAUAGGAUGGUUCUAUUUUUCAGUUUUUGAGACACCUCUAUAUUGUUUUCCUUAAGGGCUGCUCCAUUUUACACAUUUUACAUUCUCACCAAUAGUACACCAAGGCUCCGAUUUCCCCAAAUCUUUGAAAUACUUGUUAUUGUGUGUCAUUGUUUGUUGUUGUUGUUGUUGUUUUUUAAUUGGCCACCCUAAUGAAUUCCUGAGGUGGCAUCUCAGCGGUUUUGAUUGUCU
This 596-nucleotide long non-coding RNA is filed under the name Marmota monax (woodchuck). The record is from RNAcentral. Lineage: Eukaryota; Metazoa; Chordata; Mammalia; Rodentia; Sciuridae.